AACGAACGCUGGCGGCAGGCUUAACACAUGCAAGUCGAACGCCCCGCAAGGGGAGUGGCAGACGGGUGAGUAACGCGUGGGAAUCUACCUAGUUCUACGGAACAACUGAGGGAAACUUCAGCUAAUACCGUAUACGCCCUACGGGGGAAAGAUUUAUCGGAAUUAGAUGAGCCCGCGUUGGAUUAGCUAGUUGGUGGGGUAAUGGCCUACCAAGGCGACGAUCCAUAGCUGGUCUGAGAGGAUGACCAGCCACACUGGGACUGAGACACGGCCCAGACUCCUACGGGAGGCAGCAGUGGGGAAUAUUGGACAAUGGGCGCAAGCCUGAUCCAGCCAUGCCGCGUGAGUGAUGAAGGCCUUAGGGUUGUAAAGCUCUUUCAGUGGGGAAGAUAAUGACGGUACCCACAGAAGAAGCCCCGGCUAACUUCGUGCCAGCCGCCGCCGUAA
This 447-nucleotide ribosomal RNA is filed under the name uncultured bacterium. RNAcentral describes it as "partial 16S ribosomal RNA". It matches the Rfam family "Bacterial small subunit ribosomal RNA", at positions 29 to 523 of the family's 1533-position model. The record is from RNAcentral.